AAUAAAGCGUUUUAAAACGAUACGAUAUGCGCGCAAUUCGUUUGAUACGCCACAUUUAAUAGCGAGUAAUUGUUUCGAGGCGAUCGUCGGCAUCCGACUUAACGGCAAAUCAAUCACGUGGUCAUUAUCGUGUGCGGGGCGACCGGAAUUUCGUGGUUUUCUUUCCCAGUUUGCUACUUUCCUAUUGCAAUCUUUCGUCUAAUUCGACCGGCAUCAGUCAUACGUGAACUAGUUACCAAACUAUUCUAAUAAUCAUCAUCAAGGGUUAAACCGUCUUCUACUUCUGGAUAUUUUAUAAUAUAAUAUGAAUAUACGGUUAGCAUUGUUAUUUGUGGGGCUUGUGUCCACUGGUGCAUUUGCCGCCCCACCAGCAAGUGGACUUUCCGGCGGUAUGCCUUGUUUUGGUUCGCCGUGCGAUUUUAAUUCAGGACCUGUUUGCGUCGUGGACGAUUCUGGUGUUCCGAUGACAUUUUCAAGCAGCUGCAUGGCCGAAAUACAAUACUGCCGCUUUGGAAUAUAUUACGCUGUUGUAAAACAUGGGGAGUGUUGAAAUGUUGGCAUAUUUAAUAAACUGCCCCGGGGACGUCAAGAUGCACAAACAGAGGACGUAGAUCUAUUUGUGCACACGCUUUUUAGUUUUGGAUUAGAUGUACUCGUAGGUUUAUACAUAAUUGGUACAACUUGGGAGCAAUAAAAAGUUUUUUGUAGCGCGCUUAGCUUUUGCAAAUUGAAAAACAAGUUUGUUUUGUUUGCUGUAGAGGUAUACAAAAUUAUGGGUGUAAAUGUAGGUGCUACUUAUUUAUUACUUAUAUGUCGCGGGUCAGUAUUUUUUCGUAGGUCGACAGUGUACGGGUAUGUUGAAAUCGUAAUUAAGUUUUAAUGACGUAAUAAAGAGGCUAAAGCAUUUUAAUUAAA
Dalotia coriaria is the source of this 915-nucleotide long non-coding RNA. RefSeq lists it as uncharacterized. The transcript has 3 exons. The record is from RefSeq and is a predicted model, not a curated record. NCBI's taxonomy places the organism in Eukaryota, Metazoa, Arthropoda, Insecta, Coleoptera, Staphylinidae.